Mytilus californianus (California mussel) is the source of this 469-nucleotide long non-coding RNA. RefSeq lists it as uncharacterized. The record is from RefSeq and is a predicted model, not a curated record. Lineage: Eukaryota; Metazoa; Mollusca; Bivalvia; Mytilida; Mytilidae. The transcript has 2 exons.
UUAUUUUUUUAUUAUAAUAUAUAACAAAUAUUCAAGAUUUAGGCAAUUGAUAUUUAUAAUUAGGGGCAAAUUUCAAAGGGAUCACACUGUCACAAUACCCUAAGCAACCUUGAUCAACAUAUUCAAAAUUUGAACUGGACAUGAACAUGCAUACAACAAACAAAGAUGUCUUCUAUCAUGAACAAAGUAAUAUGAAUUUUACAAUGGAUUUAGAUCCAAAAGUUCCAAUUAAUUCUAUUGACACUGGAUAGUGCAUAUGAUAGCCUUCAGUUGACAUGACUCUUGGAUUUAGGAAGAUUAGUGAUUUCACAUAAUUUGGAUAACAUCUUUUGUAUUUGAAAUCAGAAAAUUCAACUUUAAGGACAGUGAGUACAGAGAAACAGAACUAAAGGAUACACAGAUAUGUAACACAACAACCUAUAGAGGACAGAGAAAAUUUUGUUUUAUUAUUAAAUCAUACUUUUUUAAA